This 253-nucleotide ribosomal RNA is filed under the name uncultured bacterium. Its description in RNAcentral is "partial 16S ribosomal RNA". It matches the Rfam family "Bacterial small subunit ribosomal RNA", at positions 524 to 776 of the family's 1533-position model. The record is from RNAcentral.
UACGAAGGGGGCUAGCGUUGCUCGGAAUUACUGGGCGUAAAGGGCGCGUAGGCGGACAGUUCAGUCGGGGGUGAAAGCCCGGGGCUCAACCUCGGAAUUGCCUUCGAUACUGGCUGUCUUGAGUACGGGAGAGGUGUGUGGAACUCCGAGUGUAGAGGUGAAAUUCGUAGAUAUUCGGAAGAACACCAGUGGCGAAGGCGACACACUGGCCCGUUACUGACGCUGAGGCACGAAAGCGUGGGGAGCAAACAGG